This 486-nucleotide ribosomal RNA is filed under the name uncultured bacterium. Its description in RNAcentral is "partial 16S ribosomal RNA". It matches the Rfam family "Bacterial small subunit ribosomal RNA", at positions 28 to 507 of the family's 1533-position model. The record is from RNAcentral.
GAUGAACGCUAGCGGCAGGCUUAACACAUGCAAGUCGAGGGGCAGCGCGGGAUAGCAAUAUCCUGGCGGCGACCGGCGGAAGGGUGCGUAACGCGUGAGCGACAUGCCCGUUGCCCGGGGACAACCGGUGGAAACGCCGACUAAUCCCCGAUGGGAUACGAUGCUUCAUGGCAUUGUAUUGAAAGUUACGGCGGCGACGGAUUGGCUCGCGUCCGAUUAGCUGGUUGGCGGGGUAACGGCCCACCAAGGCUGCGAUCGGUAGGGGUUCUGAGAGGAAGGCCCCCCACAAUGGGACUGAGACACGGCCCAUACUCCGACGGGAGGCAGCAGUGAGGAAUAUUGGUCAAUGGGCGGAAGCCUGAACCAGCCAUGCCGCGUGCGGGAAGGAGGCCCUAUGGGCUGUGAACCGCUUUUGCCUGGGGGCAAUAAGGGCGUCGCGCACGUCCGAUGAGAGUACCAGGCGAAUAAGCAUCGGCUAACUCCGUG